This 819-nucleotide ribosomal RNA is filed under the name Triticum aestivum (bread wheat). RNAcentral describes it as "partial small subunit ribosomal RNA". The record is from RNAcentral. Lineage: Eukaryota; Viridiplantae; Streptophyta; Magnoliopsida; Poales; Poaceae.
AUGGCCAGCGCGCUAUGCGGCGGCGGCGGCAGCGUGGCGGCGCCGUGCGGGGACUUGGGCGCCGCGGCGGCGCUCGCGGAGUCUUUGCCGAUGGGCGCUGGGUACCGCUCCAAGAGCUCCUUCCCCGCCGGGAGGGUGGCGCUGGCGGACAGGCCCCUGCCCCGGAGCCUCCAAGCGGCGGCCGCUGCUGGACAGAUGAACGGGAACCUGACGAUUGGCAAGGCCAUGAGGUGGUGGGAGAAGGUGACGCACCCCAACAUGAGGGAGGUCGAGUCCGCGCAAGACCUCGCCUACUCCCUGCUCAACGCCGGCGACAAGCUCGUCGUCGUCGACUUCUUCUCCCCCGGCUGCGGUGGCUGCCGCGCUCUCCACCCCAAGAUUGCGCAGUUCGCUGAGCGGAAUCCGGACGUGCUGUUCCUGCAAGUCAACUACGAGAAGCACAAGUCCAUGUGCUACAGCCUCCAUGUCCAUGUCCUCCCUUUCUUCAGGUUCUACAGGGGAGCUCAGGGCAGGGUCAGCAGCUUCAGCUGCACCAAUGCAACCAUCAAGAAGUUCAAGGACGCCCUCGCAAAGCACUCGCCGGACAGGUGCAGCCUCGGCCCGGCACGGGGGCUCGAGGAGGCGGAGCUCUUGGCUCUGGCUGCAAACAGGGACCUGGAAUUCACCUACAACGAGAAGCCGACGCUGGUGCCGAUCGCCGAGGCCAUCCAAAUGGAAGCUGCCUCCAUUGGCGGCCCAUGGAUGCCAUUGCCUGCGGCCGCGACGCAGCCUCUCACUCUGGGAUCUGAGAAUGGCUCGCUGAUCCCCUCUGGAAGAUAG